Molecule: transfer-messenger RNA, 391 nt
Filed under: Candidatus Lloydbacteria bacterium RIFCSPHIGHO2_02_FULL_50_11
Lineage: Bacteria; Candidatus Lloydiibacteriota
Also listed under: 2 other names
Rfam family: transfer-messenger RNA
About the family: Bacterial tmRNA, also known as 10Sa RNA or SsrA, is named for its dual tRNA and mRNA-like properties. Its role is to liberate the mRNA from a stalled ribosome.
Source: RNAcentral
GGGGGUGUCAGUUUCGACAGAGAAUGUCUCUGGUUAUGCGCAGCGUCGAGCAAGCUUGCAGAGCUCGUAAAUCACGCAAGUAACUUGAAAGUGCCAAGAAUAAAAGCACCGGUGGAGUUGCUACUCCGUAUUUCGGAGCCAACAGCUUUGCUUUCGCUUACGCUUAAGUGAGCGACGUGGGACGGGAGUACUCCUGAUAGGUCCGCUCUCCAUGUCAUUCUUUCAGGAUAGGAGCGUAUCGCCUGGAUACGCCACCGAAAAUGAACAGGCUCAGUGCGUGAGGAUUUCGUUUCUCUUCUACUUCACACACGAAUCACCAAGAUAAACUACGCGCUGUAGACCCAUGAUCACUACUUUUCUGGACGGGGGUUCAAUCUCCCCACCUCCACAG